This 64-nucleotide transfer RNA is filed under the name Homogryllacris parcibrevipenna. Its description in RNAcentral is "tRNA-Pro". Lineage: Eukaryota; Metazoa; Arthropoda; Insecta; Orthoptera; Gryllacrididae. The record is from RNAcentral.
CAGAAGAUAGUUUAAUUAAAAUAUUAAUUUUGGGGAUUAGUGAUGGGAGUAAUCUUUCUUCUGA